This 17-nucleotide ribosomal RNA is filed under the name Borinda dura. RNAcentral describes it as "Fargesia dura partial 26S ribosomal RNA". Lineage: Eukaryota; Viridiplantae; Streptophyta; Magnoliopsida; Poales; Poaceae. RNAcentral also lists the same sequence under 1 other name. The record is from RNAcentral.
UCGGACCGCAACCCCAG